UUCUACAUUGUAAAGAACUGGAUUGGCACUAAAUAAAAUAAUUUCAUAUUUUACUCAGCUUAUAAUAUGACUCAAUGGAGGAAAAUUUGAUAAGCAUGAGGGAAGACUAUUCUUUUCAUGUUUGUUACAGAAUGGAAGCUUCUUGCCUAGAACUGGCCUUGGAAGGGGAACGUCUGUGUAAAUCAGGAGAUUGCAGUGCUGGUGUGUCCUUUUUUGAAGCUUUAGUUCAAGUUGGAACUGAAGACCUAAAAACACUCAGUGCUAUUUACAGCCAGCUGGGCAAUGCUUAUUUCUAUUUGCAUGAUUAUGCCAAAGCAUUAGAAUAUCAUCAUCAUGAUUUAACUCUUGCAAGGACUAUUGGAGACCAGCUGGGGGAAACCAAAGCUAGUAGUAAUCUGGGAAACACUGUAAAAGUUCUUGGGAAUUUUGAUGAAGCUGUAGUUUGUUGUCAGCAACACCUAGAUAUUUCUAGAGAGCUUAAUGACGAGGUGGAAGAAGCAAGAGCACUUUACGAUCUUGGAAAUGCGUAUCACGCCAAAGGGAAAAGUUUUGGCUGCCCUGGUCCUCAGGACAUAGGAGAAUUUCCAGAAGAAGUGAGAAAUGCCCUUCAGGCAGCUGUGGAUUAUUAUGAGGAAAACCUAUCACUAAUGACUGCUUUGGGUGAUCGAGCAGCCCAAGGACGUGCCUUUGGAAAUCUUGGAAAUACACAUUACCUCCUUGGCAACUUCAGGGAUGCGAUUAUAGCUCAUGAGCAGCGUCUCCGUAUUGCAAAAGAAUCUGGACAUAAAGCAGCUGAAAGAAGAGCAUACAGCAACCUUGGAAAUGCAUAUAUAUUUCUUGGUGAAUUUGAAACUGCCUCUGAAUACUACAAAAAGACUACUAUUGGCUUGACAGCUUAAAGACAGAGCUGUUGAAGCACAGUCUUGUUAUAGUCUUGGAAACACAUAUACUUUGCUUCAGGACUACGAAAAGGCCAUUGAUUAUCAUCUGAAGCACUUGGCAAUUGAUCAAGAGCUAAAUGAUAGAAUUGGUGAAGGAAGAGCACAUUGGAGCUUAGGAAAUGCAUACACCGCUCUAGGGAAUCAUGACCAAGCAAUGCAUUUUGCUGAGAAGCACUUGGAAAUUUCAAGAGAGGCUGGGAAUAGAAGUGGUGAACUAACAACACGACUAAAUCUCUCAGGUCUUCAAAUUGUUCUUGGUCUGAGCUACAGCACAAAUAAUUCAAUAAUAUCUGAAAAUAUUGAAAUUGGUAACAGUUUGCAUGGUGCAUGCCUCAAGUUCGGACGCCGACAUAGUAUGGAAAACAUGGAACUUAUGAAGUUAACACCAGAAAAGGUACAGAACUAGAACAGUGAAAUUCUUGCUAAACAAAAGCCUCUUAUUGCCAAACCUUCUGCGAAGCUGCUCUUUGUCAACAGAUUGAAGGGGAAAAAAUGCAAAACUAAUUCCUCCACUAAAAUUCUCCAAGAUGCCAGUAAUUCCAUUGAUCACCGAAUUCCAAAUUCUCAGAGAAAUGUCAGUACAAAUACUAUUGGAGAUGAAGGGUUCUUUGACCUGGUAAGCCGAUUUCAGAGCAAUCGGAUGGAUGAUCAGAGGUGCUGCUUACAAGAACAGAGCUGUGGGCCAGCUUCAACUGCAGCUUCUUCCACUCCCCCUAGAGUGAUGCUAAAAAUAUCAUCUGUUUCCAUGGUAUCCCCCAACACGGAUGAGUUUUUAGACCUUGCCAGCUCACAGAGCCGCCGUCUUGAUGACCAGAGGGCCAGUUUCAGUAAUUUGCCAGGGCUUCAUCUGACACAAAAUAACAAUAAGUCUGCCCUUGGCCACCUGAUGACUAAUGACAACAAAGAGCCUGAUGAAGACUUCUUUGGUAUCCUUGUAAAAUGUCAAGGGUCCAGAUUAGAUGACCAAAGAUGUGCUCCACCACCUGCUGCCACAAAGGGACCAACAGUACCAGAUGAGGACUUUUUUAACUUGAUUUUACAUUCUCAGGCAGAAAGAAUGGAUGAACAGAGAGUUCUUUUACAAAGAGAUCAAAAUAGAGACACUGAAUUUGAACUGAAGGACCUUUUGCAAAGUAAUGCUUUGUUGGAAUUUAAAAAUACAGGAAAAAAAUAAGCAAACCACUAGUUAUUAUGGAUAUAUUUUUUAAAAACGACCUUAUUUCCUUUCAGAACACUGCAGGGAAAUUCAAUCUAUUUUUCCUUAA
Callorhinus ursinus (northern fur seal) is the source of this 2206-nucleotide non-coding RNA. Lineage: Eukaryota; Metazoa; Chordata; Mammalia; Carnivora; Otariidae. The record is from RefSeq and is a predicted model, not a curated record.